UAAAAGCACGUGAAACCGUUGAAAGGGAAACGCGCUCGGCUAGCAAUGCGCGCCUGUGGUUCAGCCGGCUAAUCUUGUGAGUUGGCGUGUGGCGGAUCCGAAUGGACCGCCCGCAUCAGCAUCGCAGGGCGAGCUGUGGUGCACUCCAUGGGCGUGCGCGUCAGCGUCGGUUCCAGGCGAGCGAUGAGGUGCGUGGGGGAAGGUAGCUCGGUUCUUCGGAUCCGAGUGUUAAGACCCUGGCGCUGGGCUCGUCGUGGGACCGAGGAGAGAGAUGAUCGCUGCGGCACCUGCCUCUCGGGGCUAGCCAGCUGUCGUUAGAUUUGCGUCAGGCGUUGAGGACUGCACGCAGUGCUCGGUGUUGAGGCGUGGUCUAGUGGUGGUGUGGGUAUAGAGGUGCCUAGGACGCUGGCGUCCAAAUGGCCGUGCGCGA
RNAcentral lists this ribosomal RNA (430 nucleotides) under Leucandra pilula. Its description in RNAcentral is "LSU rRNA". The record is from RNAcentral. Lineage: Eukaryota; Metazoa; Porifera; Calcarea; Leucosolenida; Grantiidae.